Molecule: long non-coding RNA, 1217 nt
Organism: Crotalus tigris (Tiger rattlesnake)
Lineage: Eukaryota; Metazoa; Chordata; Lepidosauria; Squamata; Viperidae
Exons: 6
Source: RefSeq, a predicted model, not a curated record
ACGAGAUGGGGGCGGGACGAUUCCGAAUACAUCACUAGGGAAAGACCCUCUGGAACAUAGUGGGAAGAGGUUGGUUAGCGCAGGUGGGCUGGUUCAUCCUUGGCCGGAUCGCAGCAUCUCUGAAGGCUUCCCCGAGGAGAAAAUACUCGUAUCUGAGUUUUUAUUUGUCCCGCAGCAAAAAAUAUUUGCAGUAAAAAACUGAAAUCCCUGAAGAUGUAGAUGAGCCUGUAUCUAAAAAGAACUUGACACAUUGAUGCUUUUUCCUGUUCCCUACUUUUAUCCACCAUUGUUCUCCAUCUUUUUCCUUCCCUGUUGGAAAAAGGGAGAGGAAUAUAUGGCAUCAACAGAUGGACAAGAAAUAUGAAAAAAACGAAAAAGAAGAGAAACUAAAGUCAGAGAGCAACAGAAUAAAUUUGGAAUACUCUACAUGUUAUAUGGGCAGGCCAAACGUCAGAGAAUAGAAGAAGGCCGCAGAAAAUAUCUCUUCUACACUAUUAAUUGAUACUAAUCAAUUGGGACAUGUAGUCAAGGAAGUGGAAAUAGUAAAUAAAUUCCAGUUGGUUGUUCCAAGAUGCGAGUAAUUAGAGAAGCCAUCUCUAUCUCUGCAGUUCAGGCAGCCUCAUGAUUCACCGCUAAGGCUUCGAAAGGAAACUUCACAAUAAUAUCAUUAAUCUGUGAGGAAUUUCCUCAUCUGGGACAUCUGUUGAAGGAAUGUCACAAACAAAUGUACAGUCCGUUCAUAACCUGCUCUCAAUUCACAACUUUAUAGAAAGCAGAAGCAAUAUUAUUAAAACUUUAUGAUCUGAAAAAAUAUAACAAAAUGCAUUGUGCUUCCCUUGUUAAUGCAGCUCUACAUAAAUAACUGUUUCUUUGUAAACUUAUUAAUGUUUGAAUAUUGUUUGGGCUGUGGAUCUGAAUAUACUUUGACAUAUGAUCAGCCUUUUCCAGUACACAUUAUAUUUUUUCUUAUGUAAAAUACAUAAACAUAAUGAUAUUUUUCUCAUACAAUAUUUUGCUAUCAUCCUGCCUUUAUAUAAGUUAUGCAAAAGAGCAAGCAGAUACAGACAGAGCUUAUAUAUUGCAACAUAUUUCUCUGCUGCUGAAUUCUCAUCUUCCAAAGCUGGUUACCAUUAUUUGGAACAUGGAAAGUUGGGGAAUCAAUCAUUAGCAUUUCACUUUCUCCCAACUAAAAUAAAUGGUAACAUAUUUAGGAGAAU